UGGAGCAUGUGGUUUAAUUCGAUGCAACGCGAAGAACCUUACCUGGUCUUGACAUCCACGGAAGUUUUCAGAGAUGAGAAUGUGCCUUCGGGAACCGUGAGACAGGUGCUGCAUGGCUGUCGUCAGCUCGUGUUGUGAAAUGUUGGGUUAAGUCCCGCAACGAGCGCAACCCUUAUCCUUUGUUGCCAGCGGUCCGGCCGGGAACUCAAAGGAGACUGCCAGUGAUAAACUGGAGGAAGGUGGGAUGACGUCAAGUCAUCAUGGCCCUUACGACCAGGGCUACACACGUGCUACAAUGGCGCAUACAAAGAGAAGCGACCUCGCGAGAGCAAGCGGACCUCAUAAAGUGCGUCGUAGUCCGGAUUGGAGUCUGCAACUCGACUCCAUGAAGUCGGAAUCGCUAGUAAUCGCGGAUCAGAACGCCGCGGUGAAUACGUUCCCGGGCCUU
RNAcentral lists this ribosomal RNA (448 nucleotides) under uncultured Enterobacteriaceae bacterium. Its description in RNAcentral is "bacterial SSU rRNA". It matches the Rfam family "Bacterial small subunit ribosomal RNA", at positions 933 to 1382 of the family's 1533-position model. Lineage: Bacteria; Pseudomonadati; Pseudomonadota; Gammaproteobacteria; Enterobacterales; Enterobacteriaceae. The record is from RNAcentral.